UUGAACGCUGGCGGCAUGCUUUACCCCUUCAAGUCGAACGGUAACAGGCCUUCGGGUGCUGACGAGUGGCGAACGGGUGAGUAAUGCAUCGGAACGUACCCAGAGGUGGGGGAUAACGCAGCGAAAGCUGUUCUAAUACCGCAUGUGAUCUGAGGAUGAAAGCGGGGGACCGAGCAGCAAUGUUUGGCCUCGCGCCUUUUGAGCGGCCGAUGUCGGAUUAGCUAGUUGGUGGGGUAAAGGCCUACCAAGGCGACGAUCCGUAGCUGGUCUGAGAGGACGACCAGCCACACUGGGACUGAGACACGGCCCAGACUCCUACGGGAGGCAGCAGUGGGGAAUUUUGGACAAUGGGCGCAAGCCUGAUCCAGCAAUGCCGCGUGCGGGAAGAAGGCCUUCGGGUUGUAAACCGCUUUUGGCAGGAACGAAACGGUGUCCGCUAAUACCGGGCGCUAAUGACGGUACCUGCAGAAUAAGCACCGGCUAACUACGUG
This 491-nucleotide ribosomal RNA is filed under the name uncultured bacterium. Its description in RNAcentral is "partial 16S ribosomal RNA". It matches the Rfam family "Bacterial small subunit ribosomal RNA", at positions 30 to 507 of the family's 1533-position model. The record is from RNAcentral.